RNAcentral lists this unclassified non-coding RNA (533 nucleotides) under Hevea brasiliensis (rubber tree). Lineage: Eukaryota; Viridiplantae; Streptophyta; Magnoliopsida; Malpighiales; Euphorbiaceae. The record is from RNAcentral.
AGCAUGGAUGAAAUUUUAAGGGAGUGCAACAGCAUGGCUGGCCAACUCAAUGUAUGGAAGCUGCUAGACGAUGCACAUGACUUGGUGGUCAACCUGCAUGACAAGAUAGAGGCUUCUUUCUGAUGGCUGCAUUUCGAGUAUGUUCACUAACUCAUGCUAAUUCUUUUUCUUAAUGGGAUAAUUCAAGCCUUCUUAUUACAACUUGAAACAAGCACUACAGAGGCUAUCCAUUCUCAAUUAUGGUUACUACUCAAAUGAUAUAUUUCAGAAGAUUUGUUUAGGCUUGUUUGCACCUAAUUCUACCACGCUAUGGAUUACAGCACAGGUUCUCCAUAUUCACCACCAUAUCAUGUUAAACAGGUAGGGCAUGUAUCCCAGUAUACCAUGUUGGAUGAGAAAUAUUAAGAUGACAAUCUGAUUCUCAAAUUUUUUCCCCAGCCGUCUCUAGUAUUGGAUUCUGUGUAACUGGCUGUUGAUUGAAGCUAUUUAAUUAAAGCAGGAUUAGGUGCUUGUAGCUUCUUCUGGCAGCUAAA